UGGGGAAUCUUGCACAAUGGGGGAAACCCUGAUGCAGCGACGCCGCGUGAGCGAUGAAGGUUUUCGAAUCGUAAAGCUCUGUCCUAUGGGAAGAUAAUGACGGUACCAUGGGAGGAAGCCCCGGCUAACUACGUGCCAGCAGCCGCGGUAAUACGUAGGGGGCGAGCGUUGUCCGGAAUUACUGGGCGUAAAGGGUUCGCAGGCGGCAUGGCAAGUCCGAUGUAAAAGGCGAAGGCUCAACCUUCGUAAGCAUCGGAAACUGUCAAGCUUGAGUGAAGGAGAGGGAAGUGGAAUUCCUAGUGUAGCGGUGGAAUGCGUAGAUAUUAGGAGGAAUACCGGUGGCGAAGGCGACUUGCUGGACUUCAACUGACGCUGAGGAACGAAAGCGGGGGUAGCAAACAGG
RNAcentral lists this ribosomal RNA (403 nucleotides) under Fusobacteriota bacterium. Its description in RNAcentral is "Fusobacteria bacterium partial 16S ribosomal RNA". It matches the Rfam family "Bacterial small subunit ribosomal RNA", at positions 355 to 776 of the family's 1533-position model. The record is from RNAcentral. Lineage: Bacteria; Fusobacteriati; Fusobacteriota.